This 762-nucleotide ribosomal RNA is filed under the name uncultured Treponema sp. Its description in RNAcentral is "bacterial SSU rRNA". It matches the Rfam family "Bacterial small subunit ribosomal RNA", at positions 28 to 776 of the family's 1533-position model. Lineage: Bacteria; Pseudomonadati; Spirochaetota; Spirochaetia; Treponematales; Treponemataceae. The record is from RNAcentral.
AACGAACGCUGGCGGCGCGUCUUAAACAUGCAAGUCGAACGGCAGGAAGGGGCUUGCCCCUUCUGAGAGUGGCGGACUGGUGAGUAACACGUGGGUGACAUACCUUUUAGUUGGGGAUAGCUAUUAGAAAUAGUAGGUAAUACCGAAUGUGACCGUACCUGUUAGAGGGGUACGAGGAAAGGAGCUAAGGCUUCGCUAAAAGAAUGGCUCGCGGCCCAUUAUGCUUGUUGGUGAGGUAACGGCCCACCAAGGCGAUGAUGGGUAUCCGGCCUGAGAGGGUGAACGGACACAUUGGGACUGAGAUACGGCCCAGACUUCUACGGGAGGCAGCAGUUAAGAAUAUUCCGCAAUGGACGAAAGUCUGACGGAGCGACGCCGCGUGGAUGAAGAAUGCCGAAAGGUUGUAAAAUCCUUUUAAGCCUGAUGAAUAAGCACAAUAGGGAAUGAUUGUGCGGUGACCGUAGGGCUUGAAUAAGCACCGGCUAAUUACGUGCCAGCAGCCGCGGUAACACGUAAGGUGCGAGCGUUGUUCGGAAUUAUUGGGCGUAAAGGGCAUGUAGGCGGAUAGGCAAGCUUGGUGUGAAAUGUUACAGCUUAACUGUGAGACAGCAUUGAGAACUGCAGAUCUUGAAUUACUGAAGGGUAACCAGAAUUCCACGUGUAGGGGUGAAAUCUGUAGAUAUGUGGAAGAAUACCAAUGGCGAAGGCAGGUUACCGGCAGAUAAUUGACGCUGAGGUGCGAAAGUGCGGGGAGCGAACAGG